CACUCUGUCAGGGAGACUAAGAUAGGUUCCAAGCUAUUAAACUAUCUGCGAUGUACAAGUCAUCAUUAUAAUUGGGGGCACACUUUCUUUUGACCUUUACAAAACUUUCAUUUCCCAAAUGUGACAGAUAAGGAGUGCUUUUAUAGCACCAAUAAUGAUUUUUUCCUAUGGGAACUUGCCAAUUAUAAGCUGAAAACGAAGGAAAGACCAUACUGGAUACACAUUUAGAAUCUCGAUGCACCCAAAAUAUAGCUGAAAUACUUAGGAAUCAUGCUUAGAGGACAGUUCAGGUGAAUUAAGAAUCCAGCUUAGGAGUUACCUUGUGAUACAGCGGGUUAAGGAUCUGAUAUUGUCACUGCAGUGGCUCAAGUGGAUCUGUGGCCUGGGAACUUUUAUAUACUGCAGCUGUGGCCAAAAAAAGGGAAAAGAAUCCAGCUGAGAGAAAUGCAUGUUGAAACAGUGGGAGGGCAAAGAUACACUCCUUGAGCGACUUACCAUAAUGCUAAGUGCCCUAAAAUGUGUUAAGUAAAAAAGUGGUUGAGGGCCCACAAAUGCAUCUGCAAUUAUUAGUCUGAUUCUAAGUUUUUAAAUAUUAACAAAAGUUAGAGGAGUUCUCUUGUAGCUCAGUGGGUUAAGGAGCCCACAUUGCCACUGCAGCAGCUCGGGUAACUGCUGUGGCAUGGGUUCAAUCCCUGGCCCAGGAACUUCCUCAUGCCAUAGGUAUGGCCAAAAACACAAAACAAACAAAAACCCAAAAACAAACAGCAACAUGAAAAUCAUUUAAAAAAAUAAAAAUUUUUGGAGUUCCUGUCGUGGCUCAGUGGUUAACGAAUCUGACUAGGAACCAUGAGGUUGAGGGUUCGACCCCUGGCCUUGCUCAGUGGGUUAAUGAUCCGCCAUUCCCUCUACCUACCUACCCCACAUUCUCCACUGGAAGAGUACACUUUCCUGCCACACUGAUAUUGAGUUUGCCAUGUAACUUGCUUUAUCAGUGGUCCCUAAGCUGAAAUAACAGUGGGUCAGGUCCAAGUGGAGGCUGAAGAGAUACUGCAAGUUUCACCUUGGUCUUUACACUUCUGCCAUCACAGAAGAAUAUGUCACAUGCAAGUCUCGGGAGAGAGACACAGAGAGCAACCCUGAACUCAACUCACAGUCAAGAGCCCAGUCCAAGGGAGCCCAGGCCAGGUAGGUCACAUCCCAGCCAAGCUACAAGACGCACAAACAAGGAACACUUUGUUAUACAUAAGUUACAUACUAUUAGUAAUUAUAAUAAAUAAAUAAGUGUGCAUUGUUCUAUGCCACUGGCUUGUUAUACAGAAAUCACUGACAAAUAAAUUUACUAAUCUUUGGGAACUGCCCACUGCCCCGCAUCUCAUCACCAAUGUACAAGAUCAUAAUCCUAAUUACCAACACUUAGAGAGACACUUCUCAUUUAGAGAAAUAUAGGUAGAUGAAUAUACUGAUAUUUUUAAUGCUCCCACUUGGUUGAAUUAGGUAGAAGAGCUUUUGGUAGAUGGAACCAAGAGAAUUUUUAAAUAAAGUUUGCAAUUGUUUUCUCUACUUUGACUUCUUACUACAAUCACACACUCACUGGAUGAGAAGGAGAUUUUUUUCUUAUACAAAGUAAUAAAUAUGACAAAAUGGAGGUACUCUAAAGACAACCUUUAUGGGUUAGUAUACACAGCAGUUCUUGAAGUAUAAUACCCAAGGGGGCCAGGAAAGUCAGAAGUAUUUUCUUUUUCCUUUUGGGGGGGAGGGGCUUGCUCACAGCACGUGGAAUUUCCCAAGCCUGGGAUCGAAUUCAUGCCACAGCAACAACCCGCGCCACUGCAGUGCCAAUGCUGGAUCCUUAACCUGCUGUGCCACAAGGCAACUCCCAAGAGUAUUUUCGUAAUGACACUAAGACUUGAUUUGCUUUUUUUUAUUCUCAUUCUCUCACAAGUUGGAAUUUUCCAGGGGCCUCAUCACGUUUGAUAUCUCAAUAGACUGAUUGCAGAAGCCAAUAAAAGGAUCCAGAUAUCUUCUGUGAUGCCAGAAAUUAGGGGUUGGCAAAAAUUAAGGUUUUUGUUUUUAAUAAAACUGUGCUAUUCUUAAUAAACUUGUUUUGAAAAAUAUAAUUUUUCAUUUAAAAGAUUUUGUUUUAUAUAAAAUGAGUGUUAUUACUUAAAAGUUAGUACAUACUGUAGAUGUCUCUAAGUCGGGACAUUUCCUCUCUAAUAUGGCAAAUAACUGUGAUAUAGCAAAAAAAACUGUGAUUUUUUUUUCUUAGACAUCAUUUAGGGUCAUAAAGCUGUUCAGGACCCUAAAUGAUUUUUAAGAGGAUAAAGGGACUAGAGACCAAAAAGUUCGAGACAGCCACGAUACUACGACCCAGAGUACAUACCAGUGUGUGUGUUAAAAAAUACAAUGGAGGAGCAGAUUUUAAGCAGGGUGGAGGUGAUAGGGAUGAUUUUGUGGGGCUCCUACAAAAACGAGUCUUAGACCCAACUAUCAUCACCUUCAUAAUGUAGAUGGAAGUGACAGCCAUGUGGCUCCUUUGUGCAGACUUUUUACUUCACUCCUAAUCUGAAGUGCCUUCAAUGGU
This 2584-nucleotide long non-coding RNA is filed under the name Sus scrofa (pig). RNAcentral describes it as "lncRNA (ENSSSCG00055009162.1)". Lineage: Eukaryota; Metazoa; Chordata; Mammalia; Artiodactyla; Suidae. The record is from RNAcentral.